UAUUGCCUGCCCAAUGCAACAGCGUGAAUGGCCGCAGUAUCUUGACUGUGCUAAGGUAGNNNNNUUAGUUGCCUCGUAAUUGGAGGAUUGUUUGAAUGGUUUGACUUGAGAGUUAUAUUAGAUGGGGGUUGUAUUUGAAAUUGGGUCCUUGGUGCAGAUCCCAGGGGGUUUAUAUAAGACGGAAAGACCCCGAGAUCUUAAUACUGUGGUAUUUGUUUGGGGCAAAAGUGUAUGUUUUAUGUACUUUUGGAUCCUUUAGGAAUAAGGUUUAAGUUACCUCGGGGAUAACUAGGUAAAAGAUAAAGAGAGAUCAGAUCGAUUUAUCUAAUUGCCAUCUCGAUGUUGACUUAAGGAUAGCAGAGGGGUGUAGGAGUUUCUCUGUUUGGUCUGUUCGACCGUAGAUCCUUUCAUGAGUUGAGUUAAGACCGGA
This 430-nucleotide ribosomal RNA is filed under the name Curtuteria australis. Its description in RNAcentral is "partial 16S ribosomal RNA". It matches the Rfam family "Bacterial large subunit ribosomal RNA", at positions 1853 to 2620 of the family's 2925-position model. Lineage: Eukaryota; Metazoa; Platyhelminthes; Trematoda; Plagiorchiida; Himasthlidae. The record is from RNAcentral.